This 499-nucleotide unclassified non-coding RNA is filed under the name uncultured Glomus. RNAcentral's name for it is "SSU rRNA". It matches the Rfam family "Eukaryotic small subunit ribosomal RNA", at positions 569 to 1072 of the family's 1831-position model. Lineage: Eukaryota; Fungi; Glomeromycota; Glomeromycetes; Glomerales; Glomeraceae. The record is from RNAcentral.
AGCAGCCGCGGUAAUUCCAGCUCCAAUAGCGUAUAUUAAAGUUGUUGCAGUUAAAAAGCUCGUAGUUGAAUUUCGGGAUCAAUAUGUUGGUCGUGCCUCGGUACGUACUAGCUUAUUGGUUUCUCCUUUCUGAAGAACCAUGAUGUCAUUUAUUUGGUGUCGUGGGGAAUCAGGACUGUUACUUUGAAAAAAUUAGAGUGUUUAAAGCAGGCUCACGCUUGAAUACAUUAGCAUGGAAUAAUGAAAUAGGACGUUUGAUUCUAUUUUGUUGGUUUCUAGGAUCGACGUAAUGAUUAAUAGGGAUAGUUGGGGGCAUUAGUAUUCAAUUGUCAGAGGUGAAAUUCUUGGAUUUAUUGAAGACUAACUACUGCGAAAGCAUUUGCCAAGGAUGUUUUUCAUUAAUCAAGAACGAAAGUUAGGGGAUCGAAGACGAUCAGAUACCGUCGUAGUCUUAACCAUAAACCUAUGCCGACUAGGGAUCGGAUGAUGUUGAUUUUUU